RNAcentral lists this long non-coding RNA (315 nucleotides) under Carica papaya (papaya). RNAcentral describes it as "long non-coding RNA (CPAP_LNC005019)". The record is from RNAcentral. Lineage: Eukaryota; Viridiplantae; Streptophyta; Magnoliopsida; Brassicales; Caricaceae.
GUGGGGGUCAUCUUGGGUCUCCUGUCAGCACCACCCUAGUCAAGUUGCUUCUUCUUCUACUGAUUUUGGGUCCUAACUUGAAUAAUCUAUCGAUAUAUAGAAAUAAAGAGCUCUUUAGCCAGCUAAGCAUUCUCAAGGGCCUCAAUAUAGGUAGCAGGCCUCAUCAUAGCUACCCUACUAUAGAUGUUGACCUUCAUGACCUUUUAGAACUUCCUAGCCUUCUCACCUUCUGUGGCAAUCAACUCCGCAGCAAAGUGGGACAAUUGGAUGAAUCUUGAAGCAUAGUGGCUCGCAGUCAUGCUCCCUUGAUUAAGG